GCAGGCGCGCAAAUUGCCCAAUGUCAAAACAAAACGAUGAGGCAGCGAAAAGAAAUAGAGUUGUCAGUCCAUUUGGAUUGUCAUUUCAAUGAGGGAUAUUUAAACCCAUCGAAAAUCUAGUAACAAUUGGAGGACAAGUCUGGUGCCAGCACCCGCGGUAAUUCCAGCUCCAAAAGCGUAUAUUAAUGCUGUUGCUGUUAAAGGGUUCGUAGUUGAACUGUGGGCUGUGUAGGUUUGUUCCUGGUCGUCCCGUCCAUGUCGGAUUUUGGUGGCCCAGGCCCUUGCAGCCCGUGAACAUUCAAAGAAACAAGAAACACGGGAGUGGUUCCUUUCCUGACUCACGCAUGUCAUGCAUGCUGCAGGGGGCGUCCGUGAUUUUUACUGUGACUAAAGAAGUGUGACUAAAGCAGUCAUUUGACUUGAAUUAGCA
RNAcentral lists this ribosomal RNA (430 nucleotides) under Lotmaria passim. RNAcentral describes it as "SSU rRNA". It matches the Rfam family "Eukaryotic small subunit ribosomal RNA", at positions 428 to 805 of the family's 1831-position model. Lineage: Eukaryota; Euglenozoa; Kinetoplastea; Trypanosomatida; Trypanosomatidae. The record is from RNAcentral.